This 2090-nucleotide long non-coding RNA is filed under the name Oncorhynchus mykiss (rainbow trout). RNAcentral describes it as "lncRNA (ENSOMYG00000042065.2)". The record is from RNAcentral. Lineage: Eukaryota; Metazoa; Chordata; Actinopteri; Salmoniformes; Salmonidae.
UCUACCCAAUGUGGGCCUGACAGAGAAAAAUGAAUAUUUUCAAUAUUUUGGCAAUUGAAUGUUCACAAUUGUUGGCUUUGGACUUUCCAUUAAAAAAGCUCUAAAAUAAUUUGAAAAUCAUUAUUUCAUAAUGCACUUAAUGUUUUAAAAAAUUAUCGUAACCAAAAUAAAAAAGUGAUUUAAAAAAAAAUAAUUGAACAGAAACCGAAUUGACCUCAAAAAACACUUAUCAGUCAGCACUAGUUCCAUGUAGAACCCUCUGUGGAAAUGGUUCUACGUAGAACCCCAAAAGGUUCUAUCCGAAGAAUCCUUUUAGGUUCUAGAUAGCACCUUUUUUUAUAUGAGUGUGAAGAGCGCACAAGACAUAGGGCAUAUAAGUUGCUUGGAGUGGUGAGGGACAGAAGGGGGAGGGGAACGUGGGAGGGAAAGUGUGGAGGAAAGAGACUGGGAGAGAGAAGCUGCUGCAUGUGGACUGUAGCUUGCAGCUGCAAUUGUGGAAGAACGAGAAAGCGUGCGCAUGUGAGAGAGACUCAGAGACUACUAGAUAGAGAGAGAGGGAUAUAGUGAGAGAGUGAGAGAGACAGACAGACAGAGAGUGAAGUAAAUAAAGAAAGACAGUAGUGGCGCAGUGCUUCUCUGUCUACUGUAGAUGUACAAUUCUGUUGUCUGUGGAGGCAGUGUGAUACCAGGACUAUACAUUUGCUGUCUCACCCAAUUGUCUCCUAUCAGCUGGAUUUACUCAGAAAAGGACAUCAAUGACCAUUGGACCAUAUACUUGUUCACAAUAUUGCAGGGACUGAAGGUGGACUUUUAACAAGUGCAGUGACAAUGCAGGAGCAUCUCUCAGUCCAGCACAUGGGCACCAGGAGCACAAAGUUCUCCUAGUAGUGAGGUUUGUCCUGGGCCUCGUCCAGACUACCAUGCCUGACCUCCUGGCCAACCUGAGUGUUCCAUGGGGCACACAGGCGAUUGUGAGCCCCAACCUGACAGCAGCUGCCCUGGUUGUGCCGGGGUCAGACAAGACUCUGGCCCCCUUCUGCACCUUCUGCUGCUGUGGCCUGCUGAACCGUACCCUGGCUGUGGUGUUUAUGGUCAGUCUGGCCUUCGCCAUAGUGGUGGGCAACGUGGUCACGCUCACCGUCUUCAUGCAGACAAGACAGGUCCGUACACCACAGGGAUACCUCAAAGUCUCUCUGGCCAUAGCAGACAUGAUGGUUGGAGUGCUGGUGGUUCCUUUCUCUGUCUACACUGAGAUCUCUCUGAUGGUGACCAGUUCCCCUCCUGUCUGGUACCAGGGGGGCACUGACCCCUCCAUGGGGGGCCUGGUGGGCCCCUGGCAGCCCUGCAUGCUGAUUGGUCCAGUCUUCGCUGGCUGUACAUUUGUCUCCAUCAGUACUAUUUUCCUGAUGACGGUAGAGCGCUGUGUGGCCAUCUUAUGGCCCCUUCAUAAGGACCACCUGGUGACACGGAGACGUACCCUGUUUCUCAUCCUCUUCUCCUGGGCAGGCAGUUUCCUCCUGGCCUUGGCCCCCCUCAUCCUCAGCAACAACUUCACACUGGAGUACAGUGAGUGCAGCCGGAUGUGUAACUACGUCCCCCUGUGGGAUGGAGUCACGCUGCCCUCUGAUGCCAACAUCCUCCUGCUGUUCCCUGUGUUUGACUUCACGCUGCUGGGAGGCACCCUGGUAUUCAACAUCCUGUCCUUCACCAGCAUCCGCCGCUACACACGCAAACGUAAACUCAUGUCAGAGGGGAAUGUAGGGGUCGAGGGAGGGGGAGGCGGCUGCCAACAUAGACCCUCCUUCUCUGACAUCAAGGCUGCCAAGACAAUCAGCAUUCUGACGUUUGCCUUCACGGCUUCCUUCACCCCCAUCGCUGUGUUUGUGCUGGGAAACGUGGUGGGCUUCACCUGGUGCAACUUCUCCUUUGUAGCCUUCUGGAUCCUGACUGGGAACAGCUGCUGUAAUGUGAUAAUAUACAGCGUGAGAGACCAGCGCUUCAAGAAAGGAGUGACUCUGCUUUUUCAGAGGGAGCACUCACCUUCCCAUGGGGAGAAAGGCGGAGCUACACCACCCCCACCUACCUUGUGA